GACCGUAAGGGUGCCUAUUUGUGGUAUGCUAGAAAACGAUUGCCGUUUGCAUGUCUAGUUACGAAAUAACGGAAAAUUAUAUAAUUAUACGAAAGUGCUUCAAUGAAUACUAUUCAUGAUGCAAGAAUAUUAACAGUAACUAGUUCAAGUAAACAUUUUGUGCUGCAAAUAAUAGAAAUUAAAAACGUUAAAUAAAUAAGACAACUUUUUUGUAUUACAUUAAUUUUUUUUAUUGUGUUAAUAUACAAAAACACCUAUGAUAGAAAAAAAAUGAAGUAAUUAAAAGACAGUCUAUAUAUGUAAAGAUUUUUAUUGUAAGGUCAAUUUUUUUACAAAUACAAAUAACUUUUGUAACGCUUAACCCUGUUUCUGGGCCAAUUCUUGGGUCUUAGGCUUUUCAAUCUUAGCAGUACAUGUGGCUGAUUUAGAACCUAGCAUACCACCGCCCGCAGUGACGUGUUAUUUCGUCACCAGUGUCGUUACGGAAAGUUCAUUUGAGUAUUUUAGGGUAAACGAAAUAUUAUUUGCAUUUUAAAUCAAAAUACAAAAAAAUAAACACAUUAACCCAUUUUAGAACUUGUCAGGCACCUCUGUGGAACCCUGCUCAACAAAUAUCUGGCUUGUUAUUAGCUAUAUAAAAUUUAAUGGUUGAAAAUCCGUAUUUCAGUGAACCAGUUGUAUAUAAAGUAAGUAAAACUUACUGAUACUCACGGGUACACACACCAUUAAAAAACGUCAGUUAAUAACCCAUUAUAAUAGAAAACAGAUUUUAAUCAGGGUUGAGACAGAAGUGAGUUUUGAGGAAAAUAUUUCUGGCGAUUUCACUAGGUCUAACGACCUUAUUCAAUACCAGACCGUAAGGGUGCCUAUUUGUGGUAUGCUAGAAAACGAUUGCCGUUUGCAUGUCUAGUUACGAAAUAACGGAAAAUUAUAUAAUUAUACGAAAGUGCUUCAAUGAAUACUAUUCAUGAUGCAAGAAUAUUAACAGUAACUAGUUCAAGUAAACAUUUUGUGCUGCAAAUAAUAGAAAUUAAAAACGUUAAAUAAAUAAGACAACUUUUUUGUAUUACAUUAAUUUUUUUUAUUGUGUUAAUAUACAAAAACACCUAUGAUAGAAAAAAAAUGAAGUAAUUAAAAGACAGUCUAUAUAUGUAAAGAUUUUUAUUGUAAGGUCAAUUUUUUUACAAAUACAAAUAACUUUUGUAACGCUUAACCCUGUUUCUGGGCCAAUUCUUGGGUCUUAGGCUUUUCAAUCUUAGCAGUACAUGUGGCUGAUUUAGAACCUAGCAUACCACCGCCCGCAGUGACGUGUUAUUUCGUCACCAGUGUCGUUACGGAAAGUUCAUUUGAGUAUUUUAGGGUAAACGAAAUAUUAUUUGCAUUUUAAAUCAAAAUACAAAAAAAUAAACACAUUAACCCAUUUUAGAACUUGUCAGGCACCUCUGUGGAACCCUGCUCAACAAAUAUCUGGCUUGUUAUUAGCUAUAUAAAAUUUAAUGGUUGAAAAUCCGUAUUUCAGUGAACCAGUUGUAUAUAAAGAAAAUAUUUCUGGCGAUUUCACUAGGUCUAACGACCUUAUUCAAUACCAGACCGUAAGGGUGCCUAUUUGUGGUAUGCUAGAAAACGAUUGCCGUUUGCAUGUCUAGUUACGAAAUAACGGAAAAUUAUAUAAUUAUACGAAAGUGCUUCAAUGAAUACUAUUCAUGAUGCAAGAAUAUUAACAGUAACUAGUUCAAGUAAACAUUUUGUGCUGCAAAUAAUAGAAAUUAAAAACGUUAAAUAAAUAAGACAACUUUUUUGUAUUACAUUAAUU
Molecule: long non-coding RNA, 1813 nt
Filed under: Agrilus planipennis (emerald ash borer)
Lineage: Eukaryota; Metazoa; Arthropoda; Insecta; Coleoptera; Buprestidae
Description: uncharacterized LOC112904520, transcript variant X1
Source: RNAcentral